AAACCCAACCAGACCACGGACCUCACGACUGAAGAAGGUGCUUUCUCCUGAUCUCACCGUGAGCCAAUACAUGGCCACCCAUACAAAAAGCAGAGAUGUUGGAACUGGCAGAGUUUUAAGGACCCUUCCAACCCAAACGGUCCCCAGGCUUUCAGCCCAAGAGGCAGAAACAUGACUUCAUGGACUGAUCACCUUCUGAAUGGGCCUGAAUUUCUCAUAUGUCAUGAAGAGAUAUCCUGAAGUCUGUCUGGCUGAAAUUUCUGUGGAUUUUCAAAGCUUUGUUUCCCGAAAAUCAUAGAAUCACAGAAUUAUAGAAUAUCCUGAGUUGGAAGAGACUCAUCAGUAUCAUCAAGUUCAACUCCUGGCUCUCUGAAGGACACCCCACGAGUCACACCACGUGCAUGAGUGCAUUGUUCAAACACUUCUUGAACUCUGCCAGGCUGGUGCUUUGAGCACUUCCCUGGGGAGCCUGGUCCAGUGCCCAAACACCCUCUGGGUGAAGAACCUUUUCCUAAUAUCCAACCUAAACCUCCCCUGACACAGCUUCAGGCCAUUUCCUCAGGUCCUGUCACUGUCACCACAGAGAAGAGAUCAGUGCCUGCCCCUCCUCUUCCCCUCACAAGGAAGCUGCAGACUGCAGUGAGGUCUCCACUCACUCUCCUCCAGGCUGAACAAGCCAAGUGUCCUCAACUGCUCCUCUUAAGGAAUUAAAUUUUUGAAAUCAAGUUUUUAAAUAAUUCAGAAUAUCUUUCUUACCUGUUUAUUCCCAUUGAAAUGAAUGGAACUCGUAUAGCACUUGAAGCACUACCUUGUCUGAGUAAGGCUGGCAGAUAUCAGAAAGUAAAUGAUUUCUGGACUACUAGCACAAAUGUUCAGAUUUAGUUCAAAAAGGCCUUUCUGCCAAGUUAUAAAUUCUCAUACAUUGUUGUCUAUGUUUGAAAAGCUGACAUACUCUUCAGACCUGUGUCUCAAAUGCAAUGCUAUAAUUUCUAUAGGUUUAAAGAGUAAACUUUAUUGAUUAAACAUAGUAAUUAAUCAUGCCUCUUUGGUAGAUGUAAAUGUAGUUGUCACUCAUGUCAGUGAGCAAGGGGACAUUCAUGGCUUUGGCUGCAGAACAAUAGAAACCUGAAAAUGACUGUGCUUAUUGUCUGUGAAACAAUGAAAAACUGUGGUAGGUACAUUUUACAGUCAUGUCAUAAAACCUAUCUGAGUAAGAACACAUGCUUUUUUGAUCAUUAGGAUUUUUCCAACUGGAUGAGCCAAACUGCACAAUACUAUAGAAUUUUCUUUGAUUUCUAUAAUGAAUCACUAAAGCAAUCCCACAAGGCUAUCCAAUGUAAUAAAAGAUUAACUAUUUCCUAGUACAGAGUCAUGCUUAUGGAGAUGUGCCAGUAAGUUCUCUAAUUCAGUCGAGCAGAAAUGUACCUCUGGGUUUACAGCAGAUAUUUACUCUAAUUCCAACUCCUCCUUUUGUGACACGAAGUCCUGUGUGGUUGCAGCUUCUAUUAGGUUUCCAUGCAUCACUGUGUCUCAUAAAACAUAGCAAAAACUAUAUUGAAACACCAAAAACUGAACUGAAACCUGCUGGUCCCAUUUAGAAUUUUUGCCACAGAUGUAAAAUAAGUACAUUUUGAAGCAACAUAAGAAAUCUUGUUUAUUGCAAGCAAAAAUAAAAAUAUUCUUCCUCAUGUAUAUUUUCACUGGGUCUUUACAAAUAAAAUUAAUUCUCAUGAGAUCACAGAAUCUUACAGAAUAACUUAUACUGUACUUUUUGCUUACAAUUUGUGAGGAAAAAAUUCUCUAUAUUUGAAGAGUGAAUUUUACUACUUCAUUGAUUUAUCCACUCUAGAGAGAGGCAGCUAAGCUUCCCAAAUCACUGUGUGGUUCAGUGACUAUUCUGAACACGUUGUUUUGAGUUUUCCAUCUCAAAAGUGACUUGUCUGAUGAGAACAAUGUUUCCUCUAAGAAGGAGAUAACAUGCUACCUGUGGCUUUGCAAAUCAGG
This is a long non-coding RNA of Prinia subflava (tawny-flanked prinia), 2004 nucleotides long. RefSeq lists it as uncharacterized. The transcript has 3 exons. The record is from RefSeq and is a predicted model, not a curated record. Lineage: Eukaryota; Metazoa; Chordata; Aves; Passeriformes; Cisticolidae.